Molecule: ribosomal RNA, 459 nt
Filed under: uncultured bacterium
Lineage: Bacteria
Description: partial 16S ribosomal RNA
Rfam family: Bacterial small subunit ribosomal RNA
Source: RNAcentral
AACGAACGCUGGCGGCAGGCCUAACACAUGCAAGUCGAACGUGAAGCCACCUUCGGGUGGUGGAAAGUGGCAGACGGGUGAGUAACGCGUGGGAACGUGCCUUUCGGUUCGGAAUAACCCAGGGAAACUUGGGCUAAUACCGGAUACGCCCUUCGGGGGAAAGAUUUAUCGCCGAAAGAUCGGCCCGCGUCGGAUUAGCUAGUUGGUAGGGUAAUGGCCUACCAAGGCGACGAUCCGUAGCUGGUCUGAGAGGAUGACCAGCCACACUGGGACUGAGACACGGCCCAGACUCCUACGGGAGGCAGCAGUGGGGAAUAUUGGACAAUGGGCGGAAGCCUGAUCCAGCCAUGCCGCGUGGGUGAAGAAGGCCCUAGGGUUGUAAACCCCUUUCAGCGGGGAAGAUAAUGACGGUACCCGCAGAAGAAGCCCCGGCUAACUCCGUGCCAGCAGCCGCCGUAA